CCUACGGGAGGCAGCAGUGGGGAAUAUUGGUCAAUGGCCGGAAGGCUGAACCAGCCAUGCCGCGUGAAGGUCAGUGCCCUAUGGGCGUUAAACUUCUUUUGUGCGGGAGCAAUAAUGGUCACGUGUGGCCAGACGAGAGUACCGUACGAAUAAGCAUCGGCUAACUCCGUGCCAGCAGCCGCGGUAAUACGGGGGAUGCAAGCGUUAUCCGGAUUUAUUGGGGUUAAAGGGUGCGUAGGCUGUGAGGUAAGUCAGCGGUGAAAUACCGAUGCUCAACAUCGGGGCUGCCGCUGAUACUGUAGGACUAGAGAUCGGAUGCAGCAGGCGGAAUGUGUAGUGUAGCGGUGAAAUGCAUAGAUAUUACACAGAACACCGAUUGCGAAGGCAGCUUGCUAGGCCGGAUCUGACACUGAUGCACGAAAGCGUGGGGAUCGAACAGGAUUAGAUACCCCUGUAGUC
RNAcentral lists this ribosomal RNA (459 nucleotides) under uncultured bacterium. Its description in RNAcentral is "partial 16S ribosomal RNA". It matches the Rfam family "Bacterial small subunit ribosomal RNA", at positions 338 to 795 of the family's 1533-position model. The record is from RNAcentral.